UUCCGGUUGAUCCUGCCGGAGGUUACUGCUAUCGGGGUCCGAAUAAGCCAUGCGAGUUGAGAGGGGUAAGCCCUCGGCGAACUGCUCAGUAACACGCGGAUAACCUGCCCUUGGGUCCGGGAUAACCCCGGGAAACUGGGACUAAUACCGGAUAGAUCAAAGAAACUGGAAUGUUCUUUGGUCCAAAACUCUGGUGCCCAAGGAUGGGUCUGCGGCCUAUCAGGUAGUAGUGGGUGUAACGUACCUACUAGCCUACGACGGGUAAGGGUUGUGAGAGCAAAGUCCCUGAGAUGGAUUCUGAGACAUGAAUCCAGGCCCUACGGGGUGCAGCAGGCGCGAAAACUUUACACUGCGGGAAACCGCGAUAAGGGGACCCCGAGUGCCAGCACCUAGUGCUGGCUGUCCAGCUGUCCAAAUAACAGUUGUUAGCAAGGGCCGGGCAAGACCGGUGCCAGCCGCCGCGGUAACACCGGCGGCCCGAGUGGUAGCCGUUAUUAUUGGGUUUAAAGGGUCCGUAGCCGGCCUAUUAAGUCUCUUGGGAAAUCUGGCGGCUUAAUCGUCAGGCGGCCAAGAGAUACUGGUAGGCUUGGGACCGGGAGAGGUGGGAGGUACUCCAGGGGUAGGGGUGAAAUCUCGUAAUCCUUGGGGGACCACCGAUGGCGAAGGCAUCCCACCAGAACGGGUCCGACGGUGAGGGACGAAAGCUGGGGGCACGAACCGGAUUAGAUACCCGGGUAGUCCCAGCUGUAAACGAUGCAGACUCGGUGAUGGGUUGGCUUCGAGCCAACCCAGUGCCGCAGGGAAGCCGUUAAGUCUGCCGCCUGGGGAGUACGGUCGCAAGACUGAAACUUAAAGGAAUUGGCGGGGGAGCACCACAAGGGGUGAAGCCUGCGGUUCAAUUGGAGUCAACGCCGGG
This 916-nucleotide ribosomal RNA is filed under the name uncultured archaeon. RNAcentral describes it as "bacterial SSU rRNA". It matches the Rfam family "Archaeal small subunit ribosomal RNA", at positions 1 to 922 of the family's 1478-position model. The record is from RNAcentral.